UACGUAGGGACCAAGCGUUGUCCGGAAUCAUUGGGCGUAAAGCGCGUGUAGGCGGCAUCGCACGUCGGGUGUGAAAGCCCGGGGCUCAACCCCGGCAGUGCACCCGAAACGACGAUGCUAGAGUGCUGGAGAGGCGGGUGGAAUUCCCGGUGUAGAGGUGAAAUUCGUAGAUAUCGGGAGGAACACCGGUGGCGAAGGCGGGAUCCUGGGCCAGUACUGACGCUGAGGAGCGAAAGCGUGGGGAGCAAACAGG
RNAcentral lists this ribosomal RNA (253 nucleotides) under uncultured bacterium. Its description in RNAcentral is "partial 16S ribosomal RNA". It matches the Rfam family "Bacterial small subunit ribosomal RNA", at positions 524 to 776 of the family's 1533-position model. The record is from RNAcentral.